Long non-coding RNA from Pseudopipra pipra, 1078 nucleotides. RefSeq lists it as uncharacterized. The record is from RefSeq and is a predicted model, not a curated record. Lineage: Eukaryota; Metazoa; Chordata; Aves; Passeriformes; Pipridae. The transcript has 3 exons.
CCUGUCCCUCCCUGCUCGCCUUCCCGCCCGGCCCAACCUCGGCAGGUCCCUUGGCAGGCUCCCGGGGAAGGAUUGCCCGCAAAGGUAGAGGAUCGAAGUUUGCACCCCCGCCGCCGGUGGCGGAGUUUGGCCGGGGCGGCAGCCGGGCUCGGCUCCCGGCGCGCUGUCCUGGCCGCCGCUUCCCUCACCUUUGGAACUCCUCGGCGCCGGGGAAAACAAACCAUAAUGACGCCAAGCGCAGCUGCCGAAGCCUCCGGUUCCCUGGAAUACACCCUCCUUAAAAUAUGACAGCUGAUCCAUUUGGAAACUCACCAAAGGACAGGUCUCUUCCCACUCCCCCGCCAGCCCUUCUACCCGACUGCAAGCUCAAAGUUCUAAAACCAGAAGAAACUGGAGUGUAAAUAUUUCCCCAGUGCAAACCCCAAUAAUCUUUGCUGUGAGCUGACAGGAAUUGCUGUUCCACUGCCCUGGGAUAUCCUGGCUUGAGGUGAGAGCGCAGCCACGCCCAGAGCCCCCAGCCACUCUCCGAGCUUUGGUACCAUCUGUUUGUGCAUGUCCCUGUGGCAGAAGCUCCCACGACAUCUGCCGUGGAGCUGGUACAGCUGCUGCACAAAACAAGGCAUUCUCCAGCCUGCCUUCCCCCACCCCCGACCGCCCCAGCCCAUCUUUCAUUUCUCUGCUUCCUUUUUCUGCCCCUGCUCCCCCUCCGCUCCCUUCACUCUGGCAUUUUUAUUAGGAAUGUUAUUGCUGUUCUUACUGUCCAGGCAUAAGCUGAUCCACAGAGGAGCCUGUGUAAUUUAAUCCCUCAAGCACUAAAUUCCUUCCCCUGUGCCAAGGACACAGGUUUGUUGUUGCCUCCAGCAAUAUCCCAGGCAGAGGAGCUGUGGCGGUGUCACAUCAUCACCCAACGACUUCAUCUACUGCGGCACCAGGAACAGGGGACUGACGAGAUUUACAGAACAUGCUCUCUGCCUGAAUACAAAAUGGUAUCACCUUUACCAGCAAACUCAAGUCACAGGAAACAAAGUGAAACAAAUUUUGCCCUCUUAGGGCUCAUUGUUUCCGUGACUCUGCUUUA